CCAGUCCCGCCCAUAGGCUGUCCCAACUCCUAACCAAACUAGCAAACUUUAUGUAGCAUUACCAUCCAUAGCAGCAAGACUCAGAGCUGCUGUCACGCUCAAAAGCUAAUAAAUGGCUUAAUAUGUUACUGGGGUCUUCACAGUUUGAUCCAGAACGCCAGAGGCCAGAGAUGAAUCCAUACAGGAAGUAGGCCAUGGACAACUAUUGAAAAACUGUCAGCUGAUGGUAGAUGCUGCUGUGGGACACCAUGGUGCUAGUGUCUCUAGAUGGAAGGCGUGCAUCCAUGUCCAUGUCCACCUCCAGGAAAGCGUUCGCAGACUGGACUGAGGGCUGAUCUUGAAGGCUGUUCCUUCCCUGAUGCUGAUGGCGAAGCCUCUUCUUGUGUUUCUUGGCCCGCUUCAGAUCCAGUGAGGCAUAAUUCAGCUUGGCUCUUUGUUUCACGCAGAAGAAGAUGUUGAUACACAGAGAGAUCAACAAGGCCACAGAGAGCACCACCAGACCUAUCAGCUCAAUUUUACAGUCCACCCCGGGUUCUAAACGGCAAAUAAUGAGACAACUAUUAACACCUUUAACCUUUAAACUUCUGUCAGAUGUAUUUGCCAGCUGCUGAGUUUUUAAGACAGAGUGCUCAGUUUUGAACAUUUUUCAUUGAAGGCAACCAUCUUUGUUUGGAAUUCCCCUUUUUUAUACCUCAACAACAAGCAGAAAAGAUGAAACCUUUUAGAAUGUGCCAUCGUCUCUGUGCCGAUGACAAACAGCAAAGGAAUCAAAUGUUCCAACAAUAUUUAAUAUUAAAAUCCCUGAGUUUUAAGAUGAAAAAUCAGAGGAAAACUACGAGAGAUGAAGACACCGGAGAAUAUCUUGGCCUUUUGGAUGUGUUUGUCUUAUGAGCUAUUGCUUACAUUAAAUUUAAGGUUUUUUUAAGGGGUAAAAAAUAGUAUCAGGACAGGUGUGUAAUUUUAAGUUUCUUAUUUAUCUUAUUUGUUAUUUAUUUUGUAGUUUCAUGCCAAUAACUGUCCUCAAAUUUCAAAAAGAAGCUUUGACUCCUUCCUGCUGUAACCCCAGAUCUUUAAAAAGAAAAUGUUUCUUAGUUUUCUGUCAGUGAAACACUAAAAGGUAAUAAAAGAGCACGGAGAGCAUGCUGUUAAAAUGGAGUGGCACACAUGGUUUGUGUAUGCUUACAAUCCCCUUUUGUACUGACAUGUUCUGUCGCAUGUUUCAGAGGAAUAAUCUUCUCCUGUUUUUUUUAGUAAAAGCUGCGUUUGAAAAAUUAAGCUGAAAGAUUCCUCUAUCAAAAUCAAAUAUGUAAAUAAUGAAAUACUAGUUUGAAGUUAAAGUGUAAUUUAAAGUUUGAAAAGUUCCUACCUGUCAUAUUCCAGCCGUCUGGGACAAAACGUGUUGUCUGUCUGAGACAAUAGCUCUCGGGCUACAGAGCAUCACAGCGUGUAGUCAGUGAGGUGUGCUAACAGUAGUCUAUUUUUACUUCGCCUUUGUAACCUCUGUCUUAUCACAGCGCUUUGAAAACUUGCUGCACUUCAGUUACAAACAGGAAACAAUUUAACCUCAUUUUGAGGCACCUAGUCUUAUUGUGACGUACGAUUUGUUUUUCACAUAUAUCAACCUAAGAGCUGUUUUAACAGCUCACUAGUUUAAAAACGUGUGAUAGCAACUGCAGCAGUAAUAUAGAGGAUUUAAAUAUUAAAAAAACAAACAAAGAAACUUAAAGAAAAUGUCUUCAAAGCAAGAAAUAAAAAAACAAAUAGAAACAAUCAAAUUCACUUCUUAUCUAAGCUGUAUGUUAGUACUGUACAUGACUCUAAACUUCUAAGUAAAAGCCUUAUUAAUAACACACACUAUGGUUACACCUGUGGUGAUCAUCUUUUUAAUUUCCACACAGCAAAUGUGUCCCUACAGUGCCGUGAAUAACAACACACAUGUACAUUUGGUUUGACCUUGUUACAAAAGAUCUUUAUUUAGGAGUUGUCUCUGUGUGUGUGUUUGUGUGUGUGUGUAGUCUCUGUGUAAGGGGCUUCAGACCUAACAAUAAUUGAUGUCUUUCACACACACACACACACACACACACACACACACACACAGUACUUUGUGGUUUUGGCACUGUGGUCGGAAAAUUAGAAGAAAAAGAAAUCAGGUGUCACAGUUUCUUGGUAAAGUUAAAAGAAUUUGCACAUGUGAAUGUUUUUGUGUGUACAGUGUAGGUGGAAAUAUGUGUUACUCUGAAAUCAUAUGUAACUUUUUUUAGUUCAUUUAACUUAUGCUUUUAAAUAAACAGUCAAAAAGUCAAUAUAUGAUAGUGGGGAAAAAAGACAAUAAAAAAGCAGAUGUCAGAA
Notolabrus celidotus (New Zealand spotty) is the source of this 2349-nucleotide long non-coding RNA. RefSeq lists it as uncharacterized. Lineage: Eukaryota; Metazoa; Chordata; Actinopteri; Labriformes; Labridae. The record is from RefSeq and is a predicted model, not a curated record. The transcript is spliced from 5 exons.